RNAcentral lists this ribosomal RNA (484 nucleotides) under uncultured bacterium. Its description in RNAcentral is "partial 16S ribosomal RNA". It matches the Rfam family "Bacterial small subunit ribosomal RNA", at positions 30 to 507 of the family's 1533-position model. The record is from RNAcentral.
AUUGAACGCUGGCGGCAGGCCUAACACAUGCAAGUCGAGCGGAUGAAGGGAGCUUGCUCCUGGAUUCAGCGGCGGACGGGUGAGUAAUGCCUAGGAAUCUGCCUGGUAGUGGGGGAUAGCGUCCGGAAACGGGCGCUAAUACCGCAUACGUCCUGAGGGAGAAAGUGGGGGAUCUUCGGACCUCACGCUAUCAGAUGAGCCUAGGUCGGAUUAGCUAGUUGGUGGGGUAAAGGCCUACCAAGGCGACGAUCCGUAACUGGUCUGAGAGGAUGAUCAGUCACACUGGAACUGAGACACGGUCCAGACUCCUACGGGAGGCAGCAGUGGGGAAUAUUGGACAAUGGGCGAAAGCCUGACCCAGCCAUGCCGCGUGUGUGAAGAAGGUCUUCGGAUUGUAAAGCACUUUAAGUUGGGAGGAAGGGCAGUAAGUUAAUACCUUGCUGUUUUGACGUUACCAACAGAAUAAGCACCGGCUAACUUCGUG